RNAcentral lists this long non-coding RNA (681 nucleotides) under Monodelphis domestica (gray short-tailed opossum). RNAcentral's name for it is "lncRNA (ENSMODG00000034236.2)". The record is from RNAcentral. Lineage: Eukaryota; Metazoa; Chordata; Mammalia; Didelphimorphia; Didelphidae.
ACUCUUGACAUAGUCUCGGUGCCAUGGCAAGUCUUUUUACCUCUAACUCUCUAAUAAGACUAUAAGUUGCUAAAUUCGUGUAACUCCUGCAUUGGUGAAGAAAGUAUCUGCUGUGGGAAUUCUCUAUACUUGAGGAAAGCACAGAUGUAAUCGAAAAGAAAAAAAAAAGGUGAGAAAACUGAAGUUUGGAAAAGGCUUACUCAAAUUUACCCAGGGCCUCAGUAACAGAAGUGGGACUUGCACCUUUUGAAUUAAAUCAAUGGUAGACCUUAGGAAGGAUCUGGUCUGACAUGUAUACUUAGGACUCUUUUUAAAGAGAGGACUUAGGAGGCAGUAGUUGUUUGUCCACCAUGGAAUUACCAUAUGGAUUCACAGCCAUCUCUCAAUUAUCCAUGGCCACAAAAGGGGAAUAUUGAUGUGGGUAAUCAGAAACUGCAAGUAAUCUGAAUGAACAAGGCUAAUUCACAUGGAAACUGGCCUCAAGGGAGCUUCAUGCCCAGCUGUAUGUGGUAGAGUGCCUGGAUGCUCAGCUGGGUGAUUGAUCAGGUUUGACGGGAUUGAACAGGUUGUGUUUGUAAACAUCGAAUCCACUGGCUUUUGGUUUUCAUUUUUUGACUCAUUUCAAAAAGUCAUAUCAGGGAAAUAUGUGAAAAAAGAAGGAAAAUCUUGAAGAGAUAAAAA